UACGUAGGGGGCAAGCGUUGUCCGGAUUUAUUGGGCGUAAAGAGCGUGUAGGCGGCCUGAAAGGUCAGCUGUGAAAACUCGAGGCUCAACCUCGAGACGUCGGUUGAAACCAUCUGGCUAGAGUACGGAAGAGGCGAGUGGAAUUCCUGGUGUAGCGGUGGAAUGCGCAGAUAUCAGGAGGAACACCAAUAGCGAAGGCAGCUCGCUGGGACGUUACUGACACUGAGGCGCGAAAGCGUGGGGAGCGAACAGG
This 253-nucleotide ribosomal RNA is filed under the name uncultured bacterium. RNAcentral's name for it is "partial 16S ribosomal RNA". It matches the Rfam family "Bacterial small subunit ribosomal RNA", at positions 524 to 776 of the family's 1533-position model. The record is from RNAcentral.